GGUGAUCGUAGCUCAGUUGGUUAGAGCGCCAGAUUGUGGCUCUGGAGGUCGUGGGUUCGAACCCCAUCUUUCACCC
This 76-nucleotide transfer RNA is filed under the name Prevotellaceae bacterium. Its description in RNAcentral is "tRNA-His". It matches the Rfam family "tRNA". Rfam says of the family: Transfer RNA (tRNA) molecules are approximately 80 nucleotides in length. Lineage: Bacteria; Pseudomonadati; Bacteroidota; Bacteroidia; Bacteroidales; Prevotellaceae. The record is from RNAcentral.